This 503-nucleotide ribosomal RNA is filed under the name uncultured bacterium. RNAcentral's name for it is "partial 16S ribosomal RNA". It matches the Rfam family "Bacterial small subunit ribosomal RNA", at positions 30 to 523 of the family's 1533-position model. The record is from RNAcentral.
AUUGAACGCUGGCGGCAGGCUUAACACAUGCAAGUCGAGCGGGGUGAUGGUGCUUGCACUAUCACUUAGCGGCGGACGGGUGAGUAAUGCUUAGGAAUCUGCCUAUUAGUGGGGGACAACAUCUCGAAAGGGAUGCUAAUACCGCAUACGUCCUACGGGAGAAAGCAGGGGAUCACUUGUGACCUUGCGCUAAUAGAUGAGCCUAAGUCGGAUUAGCUAGUUGGUGGGGUAAAGGCCUACCAAGGCGACGAUUUGUAGCGGGUCUGAGAGGAUGAUCCGCCACCCGGGGACUGAGACACGGCCCAGACUCCUAGGGGAGGCAGAAGUGGGGAAUGUUGGACAAUGGGGGGAACCCUGAUCCAGCCAUGCCGCGUGUGUGAAGAAGGCCUUAUGGUUGUAAAGCACUUUAAGCGAGGAGGAGGCUCUUUUGGUUAAUACCAAAGAUGAGUGGACGUUACUCGCAGAAUAAGCACCGGCAAACUCUGUGCCAGCAGCCGCGGUAA